CGGCAACGGUGAUGACACUGUGACCCUGCAGGGCCCUGGCUGCUCCGUGGAGACACCAGUCCCUCUAACCUGAUGUUGCUG
This is a small nucleolar RNA of Anolis carolinensis (green anole), 81 nucleotides long. Ensembl annotates it as small nucleolar RNA, C/D box 127. Its record names the gene SNORD127. The record is from Ensembl. NCBI's taxonomy places the organism in Eukaryota, Metazoa, Chordata, Lepidosauria, Squamata, Anolidae.